UAGAGACAGUGGGUGCAUGGUUGUCGUCAGCUCGUGUCGUGAGAUGUUGGGUUAAGUCCCGCAACGAGCGCAACCCUUAUUGCUAGUUACCAUCAUUGAGUUGGGGACGUCUAGCGAGACUGCCAGCGAUAAGCUGGAGGAAGGUGGGGAUGACGUCAAAUCAUCAUGCCCCUUAUGACCUGGGCUACAAACGUGAUACAAUGGCUGGAACAAAGGGAGGCGAAGGGGUGGACCUGGAGCGAAACCCAAAAAUACAGUCUCAGUUCGGAUUGAAGUCUGCAACUCGACUUCAUGAAGUCGGAAUCGCUAGUAAUCGCGGAUCAGAACGCCGCGGUGAAUACGUUCUCGGGGUUU
Molecule: ribosomal RNA, 354 nt
Filed under: uncultured Acholeplasma sp.
Lineage: Bacteria; Bacillati; Mycoplasmatota; Mollicutes; Acholeplasmatales; Acholeplasmataceae
Description: bacterial SSU rRNA
Rfam family: Bacterial small subunit ribosomal RNA
Source: RNAcentral